AGUAUGCUCACUAUGCUUCAUGUUAGUAACUCACUUAACGAUAUAAAUCAAGUGAUCAAUCCAACAAAUAAUGAUAAAGAUUUUCUUUUUGAUUUUCAUAAUAGCAUUUCUUGCUACUGAAUUGCAUGCAUGGUGCAGAGGUGGGGGUGAAGAUUGUAACAAACUUGUUUAUCCUUGUUGCAAUCCUUGGCAUUGCACUAAUUGGUUUGGAAGGGGAAAGUGUGUCUCAGAUUAACCAGUAACACGAAGUCCGUAUGCAGAUGCUAACAGUCUUGCGGACAUUUACAGUAUAAUGCAAGAAAGAAGAGUCGCAGGAAAUAAAUAAUCAACGAAUAUAAUUUUUUUAAAUGUCCUUUAAUAUCCAUUAAUAGUUUUUUUUUAAUUAUUGUACAAAAUUUUAACUAUGAAUGAAUGAAUGAAUAAUUGUUCCAGUGUAUAGCCGCAUGUACGACCUUUUACACUUUUUGCCUUUACAUCGCAACUGCUUCCUUUCUUUAUCUGCUUUUCAUUGUGCGGCUGUGGCCCGACUUGUGCUUAUACUGUACUGUACCAUUACGGUGAUACCCUAUCCUCCACCUUGGCUGUGGGGGUAUAGGGGCAAGGAAGACCACAGAGAAAACCAUUGCCAGUACAGUUCGGUUUGGGUGAAGCUCCAGUGGUCGAUAAAAUUCCCAUUUUACCGAUCACUGGAUCUUCAUCCCGCGCCUAACGGACAGAGACCUUCGUUCGAACCCAACGCGUGGCUAAACGGUCACCCAGCCAAGUAGUGGCCAUGCUCAAUGCUACUUAACUUCGGUGAUCGCCCGAGCCACGCGUGUGCCGAACGGCUGCCUCAGCCGCUUACAAAAUUUUAACUAUUUACUUUUCAAAAACUAUAAGUACCUCACAUUCAUAUCAGUUGAGAUUAAAUGUAACUAAAUUACA
Molecule: long non-coding RNA, 924 nt
Organism: Microplitis mediator
Lineage: Eukaryota; Metazoa; Arthropoda; Insecta; Hymenoptera; Braconidae
Exons: 3
Source: RefSeq, a predicted model, not a curated record